Molecule: ribosomal RNA, 432 nt
Filed under: uncultured bacterium
Lineage: Bacteria
Description: bacterial SSU rRNA
Rfam family: Bacterial small subunit ribosomal RNA
Source: RNAcentral
GCAAGCCUUGAUCCAGCCAUGCCGCGUGCAGGAAGAAGCCUUCGGGUUGUAAACUGCUUUUGUACGGAGCGAAAAAGCCUCCAUUAAUACUGGGGGCUCAUGACGGUACCGUAAGAAUAAGCACCGGCUAACUACGUGCCAGCAGCCGCGGUAAUACGUAGGGUGCAAGCGUUAAUCGGAAUUACUGGGCGUAAAGCGUGCGCAGGCGGUUUUGUAAGACAGAGGUGAAAUCCCCGGGCUCAACCUGGGAACUGCCUUUGUGACUGCAAAGCUGGAGUGCGGCAGAGGGGGAUGGAAUUCCGCGUGUAGCAGUGAAAUGCGUAGAUAUGCGGAGGAACACCGAUGGCGAAGGCAAUCCCCUGGGCCUGCACUGACGCUCAUGCACGAAAGCGUGGGGAGCAAACAGGAUUAGAUACCCUGGUAGUCCACGCC